UUCCUUUUCGCGAUGAGAUUCAACGGGACCUCCCAUGAAAGCCCUUUAGCCCGAGUUGAUAUCCCUGAUUGAUCUGCUUUCUUACAAACACAGAAUUAAAAACUUUACUUGCUGCAAGAUCCCGAGAUGAACCAGCCAGCAGACAUUACCUUUACACUCACCAAGUGGCAUUACUAAGACUUUUCCUCAAUUGCCUCCAAUUCCUAGUUUACCAUUGUUAACCUUGACAUAAAUUUAUAAAUACUGGUUGCACAAAUAGUCUGAGAUGAGCUUUGUCCACAUGAAAACCUAUUUGUUUAAGAGGGGUGCUAGU
RNAcentral lists this long non-coding RNA (313 nucleotides) under Capsicum annuum. RNAcentral's name for it is "long non-coding RNA (CANN_LNC004808)". The record is from RNAcentral. Lineage: Eukaryota; Viridiplantae; Streptophyta; Magnoliopsida; Solanales; Solanaceae.